This 440-nucleotide ribosomal RNA is filed under the name uncultured bacterium. RNAcentral's name for it is "partial 16S ribosomal RNA". It matches the Rfam family "Bacterial small subunit ribosomal RNA", at positions 338 to 795 of the family's 1533-position model. The record is from RNAcentral.
CCUACGGGUGGCAGCAGUGGGGAAUAUUGGACAAUGGGGGAAACCCUGAUCCAGCGACGCCGCGUGAGUGAAGAAGUAUUUCGGUACGUAAAGCUCUAUUAGCAGGAAAGAAAAUGACGGUACCUGACUAUGAAGCCCCGGCUAACUACGUGCCAGCAGCCGCGGUAAUACGGAGGGGGCAAGCGUUAUCCGGAUUUACUGGGUGUAAAGGGAGCGUAGACGGCUGUGCAAGUCUGGAGUGAAAGGCCUGGGCCCAACCCCGGAACUGCACUGGAAACUGGGAAGCUGGAGUGCAGGAGAGGUAAGCGGAAUUCCUGGUGUAGCGGUGAAAUGCGUAGAGAUAAGGAGGAACACCGGCGGCGAAGGCGGCUUACUGGACUGUAACUGACGUUGAGGCUCGAAGGCGUGGGGAGCAAACAGGAUUAGAUACCCGGGUAGUC